Molecule: ribosomal RNA, 253 nt
Filed under: uncultured bacterium
Lineage: Bacteria
Description: partial 16S ribosomal RNA
Rfam family: Bacterial small subunit ribosomal RNA
Source: RNAcentral
UACGUAGGGACCAAGCGUUGUCCGGAAUCAUUGGGCGUAAAGCGCGCGUAGGCGGCCCGGUAAGUCCGCUGUGAAAGUCAAAGGCUCAACCUUUGAAUGUCAGCGGAUACUGCCGGGCUAGAGUCCGGAAGAGGCGAGUGGAACUCCUGGUGUAGCGGUGGAAUGCGCAGAUAUCAGGAAGAACACCAACGGCGAAGGCAGCUCGCUGGGACGGAACUGACGCUAAGGCGCGAAAGCGUGGGGAGCGAACAGG